RNAcentral lists this ribosomal RNA (471 nucleotides) under uncultured bacterium. Its description in RNAcentral is "partial 16S ribosomal RNA". It matches the Rfam family "Bacterial small subunit ribosomal RNA", at positions 28 to 505 of the family's 1533-position model. The record is from RNAcentral.
GAUAAACGCUGGCGGCGCACAUAAGACAUGCAAGUUGAACGGACUUAAUCGAAAUAUUUAUAUUUUGAAGCGGUUAGUGGCGGACUGGUGAGUAACGCGUAAGGAACCUGCCUAUUAGAGGGGAAUAACAGUGAGAAAUCAUUGCUAAUACCGCAUAUGCCAUAGAUAUCACAUGAUAACAGUGGGAAAGGAGCAAUCCGCUAAUAGAUGGCCUUGCGUCUGAUUAGAUAGUUGGUGGGGUAACGGCCUACCAAGUCGACGAUCAGUAGCCGGACUGAGAGGUUGAACGGCCACAUUGGGACUGAGAUACGGCCCAGACUCCUACGGGAGGCAGCAGUCGGGAAUAUUGCGCAAUGGAGGAAACUCUGACGCAGUGACGCCGCGUAUAGGAAGAAGGUUUUCGGAUUGUAAACUAUUGUCGUUAGGGAAGAGAAAGGACAGUACCUAAGGAGGAAGCUCCGGCUAACUACG